GACGAACGCUGGCGGCGUGCUUAACACAUGCAAGUCGAACGGAAAGGCCCUGCUUUUGUGGGGUGCUCGAGUGGCGAACGGGUGAGUAACACGUGAGUAACCUGCCCUUGACUUUGGGAUAACUUCAGGAAACUGGGGCUAAUACCGGAUAGGAGCUCCUGCUGCAUGGUGGGGGUUGGAAAGUUUCGGCGGUUGGGGAUGGACUCGCGGCUUAUCAGCUUGUUGGUGGGGUAGUGGCUUACCAAGGCUUUGACGGGUAGCCGGCCUGAGAGGGUGACCGGCCCAAUGGGGAUGAGGAACGGGCCCAGACCCCGAGGGGGGGAGGAGGGGGGGAAUAUGGAACAAGGGGGGGAAGCCUGAGGCAGAAACGCCGGGGGGGGGAGGACGGCCUUGGGGUUGUAAACCGCUUUCGCCGGGGACGAAGGGGGAGUGACGGUAAUGGGAAAAGAAGCACCGGCUAACUACGU
Molecule: ribosomal RNA, 467 nt
Filed under: uncultured bacterium
Lineage: Bacteria
Description: partial 16S ribosomal RNA
Rfam family: Bacterial small subunit ribosomal RNA
Source: RNAcentral